GCGCCCGUAGCUCAGUGGAUAGAGCAACGGUUUCCUAAACCGUGUGUCAGGGGUUCGACUCCCUUCGGGCGCACCA
RNAcentral lists this transfer RNA (76 nucleotides) under Syntrophomonas zehnderi OL-4. RNAcentral describes it as "tRNA-Arg". It matches the Rfam family "tRNA". Rfam says of the family: Transfer RNA (tRNA) molecules are approximately 80 nucleotides in length. Their secondary structure includes four short double-helical elements and three loops (D, anti-codon, and T loops). Further hydrogen bonds mediate the characteristic L-shaped molecular structure. tRNAs have two regions of fundamental functional importance: the anti-codon, which is responsible for specific mRNA codon recognition, and the 3' end, to which the tRNAs corresponding amino acid is attached (by aminoacyl-tRNA synthetases). tRNAs cope with the degeneracy of the genetic code in two manners: having more than one tRNA (with a specific anti-codon) for a particular amino acid; and 'wobble' base-pairing, i.e. permitting non-standard base-pairing at the 3rd anti-codon position. Lineage: Bacteria; Bacillati; Bacillota; Clostridia; Eubacteriales; Syntrophomonadaceae. The record is from RNAcentral.